RNAcentral lists this ribosomal RNA (585 nucleotides) under uncultured bacterium. RNAcentral describes it as "bacterial SSU rRNA". It matches the Rfam family "Bacterial small subunit ribosomal RNA", at positions 338 to 916 of the family's 1533-position model. The record is from RNAcentral.
CCUACGGGAGGCAGCAGUGGGGAAUUUUGGACAAUGGGCGAAAGCCUGAUCCAGCAAUGCCGCGUGCAGGAUGAAGGCCCUCGGGUUGUAAACUGCUUUUGUACGGAACGAAAAGCCUGGGGCUAAUAUCCCCGGGUCAUGACGGUACCGUAAGAAUAAGCACCGGCUAACUACGUGCCAGCAGCCGCGGUAAUACGUAGGGUGCAAGCGUUAAUCGGAAUUACUGGGCGUAAAGCGUGCGCAGGCGGUUUUGUAAGACAGUGGUGAAAUCCCCGGGCUCAACCUGGGAAUGGCGCUUGUGACUGCAAAGCUGGAGUGCGGCAGAGGGGGAUGGAAUUCCGCGUGUAGCAGUGAAAUGCGUAGAUAUGCGGAGGAACACCGAUGGCGAAGGCAAUCCCCUGGACCUGUACUGACGCUCAUGCACGAAAGCGUGGGGAGCAAACAGGAUUAGAUACCCUGGUAGUCCACGCCCUAAACGAUGUCAACUGGUUGUUGGGUCUUCACUGACUCAGUAACGAAGCUAACGCGUGAAGUUGACCGCCUGGGGAGUACGGCCGCAAGGUUGAAACUCAAAUGAAUUGACGG